RNAcentral lists this long non-coding RNA (2516 nucleotides) under Chinchilla lanigera (long-tailed chinchilla). Its description in RNAcentral is "lncRNA (ENSCLAG00000023895.1)". The record is from RNAcentral. Lineage: Eukaryota; Metazoa; Chordata; Mammalia; Rodentia; Chinchillidae.
CCGCAGGACACUGUGGUUGUGCUCUCAAGCAUCUCCACACCUGGCUUCUGCUCAGUUUGCCUCAGCCCAGGAAGAUUUGAUGACACUGGAAACCUCAACACGGUCUGCUGGAAAGAACCUCGGCUACCUUGCCGUGGAAAAUGCAGGAUGGGUAUGGUUCCAAAAUCAGCUGUCAGUCCUCAGAUCAGCAGCUCGUCCCAGCAGCUUGCCAACCUUGGUGGUGAAAGGCAGUCAAGAAACAAAGAGGACAGAGACUUGGCUAGAAGACCAGGAGAUGAGACAAUUUUUGUUACCUCCUGUUUGGGCUGAAGAUAUCAGAUCCUUAUUGUCCUCAAGUGGAGAUAAAUGCAAACUACACCAUUAGAUCUAAGAUGGAAAUAUUUAAAGGAUGCCACUGUAUCCAGAUAGUAAUACUUUUUCACAAGUGGAGCACACAUGUGCACAGGAUUCUACCAGAUGAGAGAAGGGGAAGAAUGGGAGGUGAAUUACAUUUAAGUAUUAGAGGGAGUCCUGAGAAUUCCUCCGUGGUUCUUUGGUGAGUCUCCAGGGUGCAGGUGGAAGUCAGGACACACCCAGACCACUUUAAUUAUUAGCACAUUUUGUGAUCUAAAGAGAAGCAGCCAAUCCCUAUUUCCUCUCCAGAAUCCAAAACCCAGCAGUCUAAACAGAACCAACUCAUAUCCCAGUCAUGUGACCUCCAUAAAUAGGUGGUAAAGCACAGUGUGGAAAACUGAAGUCUACACCCUGAGUCUCCUGAGCUCUGAGGCUCCUGAGCUCGGAGGCCCCUGAGUCAUGGGCAAUCAGCUGAACUUUCCCUAGCAGAGAAACUGAAAGACAUCUAGGAGGAGACACUCUAGUGGAACUGAACUGCACAUCUGAAGCCUGCUGACCCCCAGGAACCACAACAGAAUCCCUGUGGUGAAUGUGAUGGCUGUAGUUCCUGCUUUCUGUUGAUGACCUUCUGGAACUCACUGAAGGCAACUCCUUCUCUGUGUGUACCUGGCAUUUACAUUUCAAAGACAAAUACAUAAUAUUGUUUAAAGAGAAAAAUUUAUUGAAAUAUAGAGUAAGAUAAAGAAGAAAUCUAUGUAAAAGUUUUAAAAAAUAUCUGCAGUUCUCUAAUCCUCAAAGCCAGUGAAGUACGUGAUGUACAUGGGUGACAAGCCAGGGAAAUAGAGGCAGAGCCCAGUCAGUGGUGGACUGCCAUCCUGGGAGUGACUGGUCCAUGCUGAGGACAUCACUAGUGCCUGGGUUACUUAGUUCAUGAGCUCUGGUUUUGUCAAGCAUGUCACAGAGCAUGAGGAAGGAGCCUUGAUAGAAAUGAGCAUUUUGACUCUUACAUCUUGAGAGGUUAUAAUUUACUGUUGCUACCCAGGGGGUAAAUGCUGAGCAGAUUUGUUCAGGAGACACCACUCUUAAUGUGCAUCAAUGAACUUGGCUUUUGUAGUUCCCUCAGUUCCUCGAGGAACUGUGUUCAGAUUGGAAGCAAUACUAUUCUACCAGACUUAGGUGUAGACCCACCAUGGUAAGGAAUUCCAAAAUAGAUUUCAUCAAAUCUUUUAUACCCUAACAGGACUACCUUGAAACUUUACAUCUUUGUACAUAAAUAGCAAAUAUUUCCCUUAUCACAUCUCAUUACCCAGAUACACAGCCCUGGGUUUAGUUUCUUGCUACAUCCCUCAGAGCCUCUUACUAUACUGUCCAGAGAUUACAGAACACAUUCUGGGCGUUACACAGAGACAUCACAUUAAAGCUAUGUCACAAUGGCCAAGCAGUAAGCAAGUGAAGUUCGUCCCAAACCAGCGCAUCUGGAUGAGGUAAGCUGACAGACUGGGCGUGUGUGAUUUGGGCUGCUAUUUCCUUUCCCUAAAAACACCCACUACCCACAGUAAGCCUACCCAGUCUUUCCAGGCUCAAACACCUAGUAAACACAUCAAGUCAACUGGAAGUCUUAAAAAUGAGUACCUUCUAUCCCAUUAAUAUUUCCCCCUAUUUACUCCAGACUGAUCAGGCCUGAAACAUCUCAAAUGAGUAGACAGAGAAGGCUUAAAUAAAUAAGACAAGUGAAAUGAUAUCAGGGCUCCAGGAAGAUAAAAAACACUCUCACAGAAUUUCAGAUUCUCAGGUUUAAGACGAAGAUCUUCUCUAGGCAGCCCAUAUUUAUUUAGCAAUAAAACAAGGUAGGGGAAUGUAAAGGCCUCACAAGGGACAUGCAUGGCCUCACAAAGAACAUGACUGAUUACUCCCCCUGUUGUCCUUUCCACCUGCAUCAUUCCGCAUUCUAGCCACUCCCUGAAGCUCCCUGAAAUGUAUCCUUCCUUUCUUGUAAGUUUCCUAAAGUUUCUAUAGUUUCUGGGAAGACUGCUUCACAAAGACUUCGCUUGCCAAGCAGGAUGUGGUUUUUUGGCUUAAAAGCUGCUCUCACACCUGGUUUGCUGCUGAUCUGAUCCUACCCUGCGUGGAGGCUCUCAGUCAGUCUCUGGCCAGCUAAUAAAGGCUCACUCUAAAAUCUCAAU